UUUAAGGUCUAAUCUGCCCUAUGAGGAGUUAAAUGGCCGCGGUAUUUUGACCGUGCAAAGGUAGCAUAAUAAUUAGUUUUUUAAUUGAAAGCUGGAAUGAAUGAUUGGACGAGAAAAUUACUGUCUCAAGUUGAUUUAAUUAGAAUUUUAUAUUUAAGUAAAAAAGCUUAAAUUUUUUUAAAAGACGAGAAGACCCUAUAGAGUUUUAUAUAUUUAUUUAUAAUAAAAUUUUUGGAAUUAUGUGUUUGCUAUAUGUAAUUAUAUUUUGUUGGGGUGAUAGAAAAAUUAAAUUAACUUUUUUUAAAAAUUUUUACAUUAAUUUAUGAUUUAAUGAUCCAUUUUUUAUGAUUAUAAGAUUAAAUUACCUUAGGGAUAACAGCGUAAUUAUUUUUUAGAGUUCUUAUCGAAAAAAUAGAUUGCGACCUCGAUGUUGGAUUAAAAUAAAUGUUUGGUGUAGGGGCUAAAUAGUUAGGUCUGUUCGACCUUUAAAAUUUUACA
Molecule: ribosomal RNA, 498 nt
Filed under: Trochalus sp. DA3316
Lineage: Eukaryota; Metazoa; Arthropoda; Insecta; Coleoptera; Scarabaeidae
Description: partial 16S large subunit ribosomal RNA
Rfam family: Bacterial large subunit ribosomal RNA
Source: RNAcentral